RNA transcript from Pistacia vera, 1598 nucleotides. It is a transcript of the gene named putative dual specificity protein phosphatase DSP8, with no coding region annotated. The transcript has 7 exons. The record is from RefSeq and is a predicted model, not a curated record. NCBI's taxonomy places the organism in Eukaryota, Viridiplantae, Streptophyta, Magnoliopsida, Sapindales, Anacardiaceae.
AUACAGAGAGUUUUAACGAUGAGGAUUCACAGAUAACGGUGGACCUAUCUAAUGUACCAGAUCUUCCCUUGAGAAGAGUUUUGAUUGACUGUUCGGUUUCACAAAAUUCUUCACAAUCUAUAUCGCUUAUGCCUUAAUUAACCCAUCAACUUGACUCUCCAGACCCCAAAAAACCAACCCCUACUAUCACUCCCACUUUUAUUACUGGUCCCUCAAUUUUUUCAAAUCUUAUGUUCCAUCCCCUUCCUUCCGAUACCCAUACCCCUAAUUUUGGGAAUUUACACAGAUUUGAGAUGAAGAUCGAGGAAUUGGACGACGUGGGUUGUGAUCCAAACGACGAUCCUUGUUACAGAAAGCAGAUUGUGAAGGUUGACGCCAAGAGAGCGUUGGUGGGAGCGGGUGCUCGGAUCCUCUUUUAUCCGACCCUUUUGUAUAAUGUGUUUCGUAACAAAAUCCAGGCCGAGUUCAGAUGGUGGGACGAAGUUGAUCAGUUUGUUUUAUUGGGCGCGGUUCCGUUCCCUAAGGAUGUUCCCCGGUUGAAGCAACUGGGUGUCGGUGGAGUCAUCACUCUCAAUGAAUCUUAUGAAACUCUCGUUCCCUCGUCCUUGUAUCAUGCCCAUGGGAUUGACCACCUAGUAAUUCCCACAAGAGAUUAUCUCUUUGCUCCUUCGUUUGAUGAUAUUAGGAGAGCUGUUGAUUUUAUUCACAGGAAUUCAUCUUCUGGUAGAACUACUUAUGUUCACUGUAAAGCUGGGCGUGGAAGAAGCACAACCAUUGUGCUUUGCUAUUUGGUAGAGUAUAAGCACAUGACACCAGCUUCUGCCUUGGAAUACGUGCGAUCUAGAAGACCUAGAGUGUUGCUGGCCCCCUCACAGUGGAAGGCAGUUCAGGAAUUCAGCGGGCAAAGACCCACUACUGCUACAUAUUCUCCCUCAGGUGAUGCAGUUCUAAUAACAAAAGAAGAUCUUGAAGGGUAUCAUGGCACUUCUGAUGAUAAUGCUGGAAAGGAGCUGGCCGUUGUAUCCAGAACAAUGAGGACUGGGCCCAUGAUGGCUAGAUUGUCAUGCCUCUUCGCAUCCUUAAAAGUUUCUGGUGUUAGUGGACCUGUCACCAGGAGGCUACCUGAGGCACGUGCUUGCUAAAUGCCCAAUGCUCCACCAGAUCCUAUGAAGUUGUUGUUUGUACAGGAGCAUUAUGAAAUAAAGUUCAGAGCUCUGACCAUUACCCUGUAUUCAGGCUAAGGCUAAUACUCAUUUGGGGUGGUGGGUUUUCGCAACUGUUCCUGCAAUUCAUGUGAAUACCCUUUUCUGUCGAUUGAUCACUGGGUAGCAUAGUUGGCAGAUGCAGACGUACAUCUUGGAACAUUUGCCGAUAAACGUAUGGUAAGUAUGAAUUGCAUGAUGCUGUACUUUAUCGACUGGUGGUUGGAUCUGUAGUUAAUACUUUACUUGACAGAUUGUGUAUCCCAAACAGGUCUUACUGUCGCUUCAUGCAAUAACCCAUUAACAGAUAAAAAGCUUCUUGAAUGUAUGUUUGUUUUCAUUCUUUAGCAAUCAUAGUUUUUGUUGACUGGUAGUCACGGAAGGAAUAUAUAUUGA